Molecule: transfer RNA, 84 nt
Filed under: Fibrobacterales bacterium
Lineage: Bacteria; Pseudomonadati; Fibrobacterota; Fibrobacteria; Fibrobacterales
Description: tRNA-Leu
Rfam family: tRNA
About the family: Transfer RNA (tRNA) molecules are approximately 80 nucleotides in length. Their secondary structure includes four short double-helical elements and three loops (D, anti-codon, and T loops). Further hydrogen bonds mediate the characteristic L-shaped molecular structure. tRNAs have two regions of fundamental functional importance: the anti-codon, which is responsible for specific mRNA codon recognition, and the 3' end, to which the tRNAs corresponding amino acid is attached (by aminoacyl-tRNA synthetases). tRNAs cope with the degeneracy of the genetic code in two manners: having more than one tRNA (with a specific anti-codon) for a particular amino acid; and 'wobble' base-pairing, i.e. permitting non-standard base-pairing at the 3rd anti-codon position.
Source: RNAcentral
GCGGACGUGGUGGAAUUGGUAGACACGCUAGCUUGAGGUGCUAGUGACAGCAAUGUCAUGACGGUUCAAGUCCGUCCGCCCGCA